UGUUAAACACCUUCAUAACCCACUUCUAAAUGUAAUUGAAGCUGACAACAGAAGGAUAAGUAAGAAGUGAAUAAAUGAAGAAAAGGGAGAAUCUUCUUCUAUUUGGAAAGAAUGGGACUUUCAGAACUCCUAAUGCUUAGUUUUUGAAAAAACAGAAAGAAAACUGGAUGGUGUGUUCAAGAAUCAGUCCUUGGGAAUAUUGUUGGUGAACAUGGCAGAGGUGUUGUCUUCCAGGAAGGGACAAGCAGAGCAGUGCUUCAUCUUGCAUCUACCUGUCGCUGAAUUCUGGACCUCCCACUAAAAUCAGCUGUACCUUCGGACCAAAAAAUUCCUUGUUUCUCUGCUACCACAUUCCUUACACUAAGAACAACAACAACAAAAAGAUUCCUCCUUCUAUGAUCAAGAAGCAGCAUAGAUGCUCAGGUAAAAAUUUUCAGAUCCAAGUUCUAAUUCCAGGCCUGUUCCCCAUUCAAUAGCAAUUCUGUGAAAAUUAUAGGGGAAAAGGUCAGUAUGUAACACUUCUACAAAUGUACCUACUUACAUUUCACAUCAUUUCCUGCAAUUUCUAAGUGUCAUUUUUAUCCACAAAUGAGUAAUACUU
Phacochoerus africanus (Common warthog) is the source of this 601-nucleotide long non-coding RNA. RefSeq lists it as uncharacterized. The record is from RefSeq and is a predicted model, not a curated record. Lineage: Eukaryota; Metazoa; Chordata; Mammalia; Artiodactyla; Suidae. The transcript has 3 exons.